CUUGGUUCUUCCGGAAUCAAGGAGAACGAUAGCAGAACUGAGCGCCAAUGUCUGGCUUCAGGAAUCAGGAUAGAAGAGCCAAGCUGGUAACGAAAGCAGGACAUGGUGCUAGCUUCUCUCCCUUUCUCCUCCCCUUCUCCUCCCCCCACUUCACUUGUCCCAAGAAUACCACCACUACCUACAAUCCCCACCUCCUCCCCUCCCUCCUCCUCCUCCUCCUCGCUCUCCAGGCGAACAACGAUAACCCUUCUCGCCUCCUCCCUCGCCUUUCCUUCCCUCUACUCUUCACCGCUCUUCGCGGGGGCUGAUGAGAAGGACGAACCCCAGCGAGACGAGGAGCGGGUCGUCCAACUCUUCCAGGUCCUCUUCUCCCUCUCCUCUCUUUCUCUCUCACAAGACCCAAAUGACACCCGCUUCAUUAGGAAUCAGGAGGCAUCGCCUUCGGUGGUCUUUAUCAAAGAUUUGGAGCUACGAGGCGCUGCGACCUCAGCGAAACCCCCGGCGGUAGAGGAAUUGGGGGAAGAUGAUGAAGAAUUGAGGGAUGCCAAGGUCGAAGGUACGGGCUCCGGGUUCGUGUGGGACAAGACUGGCCACAUCGUGACAAAUUAUCAUGUGGUGGCGAAACUGGCUACCGAUAAAUCCGGCUUACACCGCUGCAAGGUUUAUUUUGAAGACUUUAAAGGCAAUACCUUUUCCAAGGAAGGAAAGAUUGUUGGAUUCGAUCCUGCUUAUGAUCUUGCUGUUCUGAAGGUUGAUGUUGAGGGAGACAAAUUAAGACCGGUGCCUAUUGGUACAUCACAUGAUCUACGAGUGGGACAGAGCUGUUUUGCCAUUGGGAAUCCGUAUGGGUAUGAGCACACUCUAACUACUGGGGUUGUGAGUGGUUUGGGUAGGGAAAUACCAUCACCAAAUGGAAGGCCAAUUCGAGGAGCUAUACAGACAGAUGCUGCUAUCAAUGCUGGAAACUCUGGUGGGCCUUUGAUCGAUUCUUAUGGCCAUGUUAUUGGAGUUAACACAGCUACAUUCACCCGUAAAGGAAACUACCCGCAACCAUCAAGGAGAGAGUUACCAAGACAUGAAACCACCUAAAAGAUGGUAGUUAUUGUUGGAAAUAACUACCAAUCUGCAAUACAAGAAUUGGAAGAAGGGACUGGAAUAUCAUCUGGUGUCAACUUUGCAAUUCCAAUCGAUGCUGUUGUACGGACAGUUCCUUACUUGAUAGUAUAUGGAACUUCUGUUAGCAAUAGGUUUUGACUUCUUUGUGUUCUAUGUCAUCAGAUUCAAUUUUUUCAUGCUUUUCCACAGCUUAUAUUCAGUGUCAAUAUAUAGUGUCAUUAACAGUGUUGCGUGAUUGUAGUAUUGUUGAAUUAAUCAUAUAGUUGGUUUAUGCAUUAAAUUUCAUACAGAUUAAAACAAAUAAGUAUACAAUGCUCAUGUUUAAGUA
This is an RNA transcript of Phoenix dactylifera (date palm), 1444 nucleotides long. It is a transcript of the gene named DEGP protease 5, with no coding region annotated. Lineage: Eukaryota; Viridiplantae; Streptophyta; Magnoliopsida; Arecales; Arecaceae. The record is from RefSeq and is a predicted model, not a curated record.